RNAcentral lists this ribosomal RNA (773 nucleotides) under Campylobacter jejuni. RNAcentral's name for it is "bacterial SSU rRNA". It matches the Rfam family "Bacterial small subunit ribosomal RNA", at positions 407 to 1202 of the family's 1533-position model. Lineage: Bacteria; Pseudomonadati; Campylobacterota; Epsilonproteobacteria; Campylobacterales; Campylobacteraceae. The record is from RNAcentral.
GAUGAACUCUCGGAGCGUAACUCUUUCUUAGGGAAGAAUUCUGACGGUACCUAAGGAAUAAGCACCGGCUAACUCGUGCCAGCAGCGCGGUAAUACGGAGGGUGCAAGCGUUACUCGGAAUCACUGGGCGUAAAGGGCGCGUAGGCGGAUUAUCAAGUCUCUUGUGAAAUCUAAUGGCUUAACCAUUAAACUGCUUGGGAAACUGAUAGUCUAGAGUGAGGGAGAGGCAGAUGGAAUUGGUGGUGUAGGGGUAAAAUCCGUAGAUAUUACCAAGAAUACCCAUUGCGAAGGCGAUCUGCUGGAACUCAACUGACGCUAAGGCGCGAAAGCGUGGGGAGCAAACAGGAUUAGAUACCCUGGUAGUCCACGCCCUAAACGAUGUACACUAGUUGUUGGGGUGCUAGUCAUCUCAGUAAUGCAGCUAACGCAUUAAGUGUACCGCCUGGGGAGUACGGUCGCAAGAUUAAAACUCAAAGGAAUAGACGGGGACCCGCACAAGCGGUGGAGCAUGUGGUUUAAUUCGAAGAUACGCGAAGAACCUUACCUGGGCUUGAUAUCCUAAGAACCUUUUAGAGAUAAGAGGGUGCUAGCUUGCUAGAACUUAGAGACAGGUGCUGCACGGCUGUCGUCAGCUCGUGUCGUGAGAUGUUGGGUUAAGUCCCGCAACGAGCGCAACCCACGUAUUUAGUUGCUAACGGUUCGGCCGAGCACUCUAAAUAGACUGCCUUCGUAAGGAGGAGGAAGGUGUGGACGACGUCAAGUCAUCAUGCCCG